CGGGCCUUCGCGGCGGCAUCGCGCCUCCCGCCGCCACCGCCUCCCCGUGACGGCCGGAGACGGCAGGGCGCACGUGGGUAGAUAACGCAGGUUUAAACUCAUCCCUUCGUCCUUCCUCCACAAGUGAUUCCCAAUACAAGACGAACCAGUAUGUCACAACAAGAAGGUAGCUGCUGAUUUUCACCUGAUUCUUCAGCCACAGACACCAGGGUUGUGGACAAGGUCAACUGAGGAAAAUAAUUCCAGUAUUACAAAGAAGAAGAGGUCCCUAAAGUCAACCAUAAGCCAGUUUUAUCCUCCCAUGGGUUGAUGUGGUGCAGAAAGCAAAGGAAGCAGCCUGCUCCGCUCCACUCCUUCGCUCUGCCCUGGGGAGCUCUCCCGCCCCAACGGCGGCAGGCCGGGACGUCUGGCAUCCAGAGGAGUGGGAAAACAAACAGCUCUCACAGUCCCAAUUCCACUUUUUGCCUCCUCUUUGAAACCAGAUUGGCUCAGCGUGCUGGCUGAAUGUGCCUUUUCGUCGGCGCAGUCUUCCUGGCUCCUCAAUAAAUGGACUCCCAAACCUGAAGGCA
Molecule: long non-coding RNA, 569 nt
Filed under: Dromaius novaehollandiae (emu)
Lineage: Eukaryota; Metazoa; Chordata; Aves; Casuariiformes; Dromaiidae
Description: lncRNA (ENSDNVG00000017367.1)
Source: RNAcentral